UACAGAGGGUGCGAGCGUUAAUCGGAAUUACUGGGCGUAAAGCGCGCGUAGACGGUUUUGUAAGUCAGAUGUGAAAUCCCUGGGCUCAACCUGGGAACUGCAUUUGAGACUGCAUGGCUAGAGUAUGGAAGAGGGAAGUGGAAUUUCCGGUGUAGCGGUGAAAUGCGUAGAUAUCAGAAGGAACAUCAGUGGCGAAAGCGGCUUCCUGGUCCAGUACCGACGUUCAGGCACGAAAGCGUGGGGAGCAAACAGG
RNAcentral lists this ribosomal RNA (253 nucleotides) under uncultured bacterium. RNAcentral describes it as "partial 16S ribosomal RNA". It matches the Rfam family "Bacterial small subunit ribosomal RNA", at positions 524 to 776 of the family's 1533-position model. The record is from RNAcentral.